This 486-nucleotide ribosomal RNA is filed under the name uncultured Alphaproteobacteria bacterium. Its description in RNAcentral is "bacterial SSU rRNA". It matches the Rfam family "Bacterial small subunit ribosomal RNA", at positions 395 to 899 of the family's 1533-position model. Lineage: Bacteria; Pseudomonadati; Pseudomonadota; Alphaproteobacteria. The record is from RNAcentral.
UGCCGCGUGUGUGAUGAAGGCCCUAGGGUCGUAAAGCACUUUCGCCAGGGAUGAUAAUGACAGUACCUGGUAAAGAAACCCCGGCUAACUCCGUGCCAGCAGCCGCGGUAAUACGGAGGGGGUUAGCGUUGUUCGGAAUUACUGGGCGUAAAGCGCACGUAGGCGGACUAUUAAGUCAGGGGUGAAAUCCCGGGGCUCAACCCCGGAACUGCCCUUGAUACUGGUAGUCUUGAGUUCGAGAGAGGUGAGUGGAAUUCCGAGUGUAGAGGUGAAAUUCGUAGAUAUUCGGAGGAACACCAGUGGCGAAGGCGGCUCACUGGCUCGAUACUGACGCUGAGGUGCGAAAGUGUGGGGAGCAAACAGGAUUAGAUACCCUGGUAGUCCACACCGUAAACGAUGAAUGCCAGUCGUCGGGUAGCAUGCUGCUCGGUGACACACCUAACGGAUUAAGCAUUCCGCCUGGGGAGUACGGUCGCAAGAUUAAAA